Long non-coding RNA from Hemiscyllium ocellatum (epaulette shark), 1912 nucleotides. RefSeq lists it as uncharacterized. Lineage: Eukaryota; Metazoa; Chordata; Chondrichthyes; Orectolobiformes; Hemiscylliidae. The record is from RefSeq and is a predicted model, not a curated record. The transcript has 2 exons.
ACCUUUGCCUUAUACAGAUUGGCUAAAUGACGUUCGAGAAUGUGUCAGAAGAUAAAGUAAAAAUCCGCGAUGCAAUGAACAUGUCUAUUGCUGCUUCCUCAUAAAUCCUUGUAUGAAGUACAUCUGGUCUGUCAGAUUUAUAAAUACUCAAUCCAGCUUUCUUUUCAAAGAUGACCUCAACAUUGAUAAGAAUAAUCUUAGACGUUACUUACACAAGUCCCAUGGUCACUUGGUAUUUCUGGAAGAAUUUCUGGACAUUCUUGCAAUGAAGAUAGACGCAAAUAAACUGUUUCUUUUCCGAGAUUUCUCUGUUCUCUGCAAUAAACUAUCCUGAACGCAUACCAACUGUUCCACAUUUGACCUUGUUUUUAUUUUUUUUCAUACAUUGAUAGAUGCUUUUUAGCAGUUUUUAUGUUUUUCUUUCGUUUGCAUGCUUUUUCUCUUUUCGAUUUUCUUCUCAGUUUCUUGGCCAUCCUUUGCUGGGUCCUACAUUUCUCUGAAUCCACUGGAUUACAGCAACUUGGCAUUUUUAUAAGCUGCCUCCUUUCAUCAAAUAGCUUUCACUUUGCUCCUCCUUGCUGGUUUUGCGAUCCACCUUACUAGAUUCUGCGGAAUCUGAGCGAUGUGGGCUCUGGGGAGAUUGAUGGUAGAGAUCAUCUCGCUACAUCAUUUAUGAUCUUCUCAAACUUUAAGUUCUCCAGAUCUCCCGUUAUGCUGAUGGAGUAGAGAAGGACAAUGAUCUUCCAACAAUGUUCUGUAUUCCCCCAGAGAGCUGAGACUGCUCUAACCUGGGUGGGAACUUUACAAUAGGCUGGUAAAGUGUUGCUGCUUCUGUACAGGAAGAUUACAUCUGGAGUAGUGUGUACAGAUUUAGCCUCUUCUCUGAAGAAAGGAUGUUGUUAUAUUGGAAGCAGCUCAGAGAUGGUUCCCUCAACUGAUUCCUGCAAUGAAGGUGCUGGCUUAUAACGAAAGGAUGAUCAAGUUGACGCAGUAGCCAUUGGAGUUUACAAAAAUUAAAGAUGAUCUUAUUUGAACAAAGUUGACAGAAGGAGUUAACAAGUGAAGGGAAUUACACAGAUAGUGGAGGAAUCCAUUCCGUUCUCCAGCCUGUUACACAGGAACAACAGGAGGAUAUUCAGGCCUUUGACCCUGAUACAACAAAACAGGAUGAGGCUAUUCAGCCCCUGGAGCCUGAUAUACAUUUACAGAAGGAGGCCAAUCAGCCCCUCGAGCCUAUAACAGUAGGCCAUGCUGCACCAGUAUCCUGUUCAACAGCAACAGGAGCAGUCUAUUCAGCCUCCUCAAGUCUGUAACAUAGGAACUGGAAGAGGUCACACAGUGACUCGAGGUUGUUACACUGGGAUAACAGGAGGCCAUUCAGACCCACCGAGCCUAUUGCAAGGGAAUUGGAUAAGGACAAAAACUAUCUGAGACUUCUUUCAUGAGAAACGAAGAGGUAAUUUAUACACGUGUUUGUUUUAUGGGAAUAAGAGACGACGAAUCAAUCCCUCGGUCCCAUCUCCGGGAUACAUGAGGAGACCGUUCAGUAUCUCCACCUGUUAUGGAGAAGUAUGAGAAAACCCAUGAGCCCCUCAAAUUGUUACACAGCAGCAGGAAGAUUCCAUAACCUCCCAAUCCUCAAAAGCAUCAACAGGAGGAGGUCAUUCUGGCCUUGGAGAUGGCAACAUGGGAACACCAGAAAGACAUCAGCCAAUCGAGUUUGAAUACCAGCAAGAUGAUGAGUCCAUUCAGACAUACAUGGCUCUUACACAGCAAUUGGAGCAGAUCUCUUCAAGCCUUGUGCCCAUAAAACAGGAAUUCAAAGAAAACAUGAAGGUUUUCGAAAGGGAAGAACUUGUAAUAAUGUAAUACAUGAGCGACUAAAGUUUAACAAUAAACUAUUGUAAUUUAA